CUGCACGCUGGCGGCGUGCCUCAUCCCUGCAAGUCGAGCGCACAGACGAGGAGCUUGCUCCUCUGACGUUAGCGGCGGACGGGUGAGUAACACGUGGAUAACCUACCUAUAAGCCUGGGAUAACUUCGGGAAACCGGAGCUAAUACCGGAUAAUAUAUUGAACCGCCUGGUUCAAUAGUGAAAGACGGUUUUGCUGUCACUUAUAGAUGGAUCCGCGCCGCAUUAGCUAGUUGGUAAGGUAACGGCUUACCAAGGCAACGAUGCGUAGCCGACCUGAGAGGGUGAUCGGCCACACUGGAACUGAGACACGGUCCAGACUCCUACGGGAGGCAGCAGUAGGGAAUCUUCCGCAAUGGGCGAAAGCCUGACGGAGCAACGCCGCGUGAGUGAUGAAGGUCUUCGGAUCGUAAAACUCUGUUAUUAGGGAAGAACAAAUGUGUAAGUAACUAUGCACGUCUUGACGGUACCUAAUCAGAAAGCCACGGCUAACUACGUG
Molecule: ribosomal RNA, 496 nt
Filed under: uncultured bacterium
Lineage: Bacteria
Description: partial 16S ribosomal RNA
Rfam family: Bacterial small subunit ribosomal RNA
Source: RNAcentral